AUCUCCUCGAGGCUCCAAUAGAUCACAGAGGAAAUUAAAAAUUAGGCAAACUUAAUGAAGAUAACCGUAAUGGGUCGAGCGAUGAUGUUAACAUUGGUGGUGGUGAUGGGUGUGGUGAGCACAUCGGCUCUGGAUUGCAUCCAGUGUAUGAAUUGCAAUGGCAACGAAACCGCCACCGAGUGCAGCGAGAAAGCUUACGACGCAUGUAUAUCGUUAACAAGUAGUGAAACUGUGGUGAAGGGAUGCACCCUGAAAGCUGCAUGCAAAGCAGGCUGUGCGACGGAGAUCCUGAGGACACUUCAUCUUGUUGACCAAGAACAAU
Hyalella azteca is the source of this 322-nucleotide long non-coding RNA. RefSeq lists it as uncharacterized. The transcript is spliced from 3 exons. The record is from RefSeq and is a predicted model, not a curated record. NCBI's taxonomy places the organism in Eukaryota, Metazoa, Arthropoda, Malacostraca, Amphipoda, Hyalellidae.